GCAAUGGUUUUUCAGUGGUAGAAUUCUUGCCUUCCACACAGGAAACCCAGGUUCAAUUCCCAGCCAAUGUA
This 71-nucleotide transfer RNA is filed under the name Loxodonta africana (African savanna elephant). It matches the Rfam family "tRNA". Rfam says of the family: Transfer RNA (tRNA) molecules are approximately 80 nucleotides in length. Their secondary structure includes four short double-helical elements and three loops (D, anti-codon, and T loops). The record is from Rfam by way of RNAcentral. Lineage: Eukaryota; Metazoa; Chordata; Mammalia; Proboscidea; Elephantidae.